CUUAUCAAGAGUGACGGAGGGGACUGGCCCGAUGAAGUCCGGCAACCUUUUCAGUAAGGUGCCAAUUCCAGCCGGGAUCAUCCCGGAAGAUGAG
RNAcentral lists this non-coding RNA (94 nucleotides) under Candidatus Salinicoccus merdavium. Its description in RNAcentral is "SAM riboswitch (S box leader)". It matches the Rfam family "SAM riboswitch aptamer (S box leader)". From Rfam's summary of the family: The SAM riboswitch is found upstream of a number of genes which code for proteins involved in methionine or cysteine biosynthesis in Gram-positive bacteria. The SAM riboswitch acts at the level of transcription termination control. Lineage: Bacteria; Bacillati; Bacillota; Bacilli; Caryophanales; Staphylococcaceae. The record is from RNAcentral.